RNAcentral lists this unclassified non-coding RNA (385 nucleotides) under uncultured bacterium. Its description in RNAcentral is "contains 16S-23S intergenic spacer region". The record is from RNAcentral.
UCCGGUUUUUCACCGGCAGUCCCUCUAGAGUGCUCACCAUAACGUGUUAGCAACUAAAGGCAGGGGUUGCGCUCGUUAAGGGACUUAACCCGACACUUCACAGCACGAGCUGACGACAGCCAUGCAGCACCUGUGCUUGUUCCACCCUUGCGGGUGUGGCUCCUGUUUCCAGGAGUUAAUCCAAGCAUGUCAAACCCAGGUAAGGUUCUUCGCGUUGCUUCGAAUUAAACCACAUGCUCCACCGCUUGUGCAGGCCCCCGUCAAUUUCUUUGAGUUUUAAUCUUGCGACCGUACUUCCCAGGCGGCGCAUUUAUCGCGUUAGCUUCGCCACAAACGGGGUCGAUUCCGUUUACAGCAAAUGCGCACCGUUUACAGCCAAGACUAC